RNAcentral lists this long non-coding RNA (334 nucleotides) under Ananas comosus (pineapple). RNAcentral's name for it is "long non-coding RNA (ACOM_LNC032748)". The record is from RNAcentral. Lineage: Eukaryota; Viridiplantae; Streptophyta; Magnoliopsida; Poales; Bromeliaceae.
ACUACUCCUAGAGUAAGUGACAGAAGACUUGGUGAUUGAUACCCGAGGUUCUAAGUUCGAAUUCUAAUUAAUUCACAUUUACAGCUAAGUUUAUUUCAAAUAAAAUAAACGAAAUGGACAACGUGCUAUCUAUCUCUCAAAAAAAAACAUGAGAGCGCCAUGUUGGAUUUUAACUGGAGCUUCUAUUUCUAUAAUAACAAUAAUAUACAUAUAUAUUAUUAUAGUUUAGAUUGCGUCUAUCGAAUUAAAUUGUAUAAUUUUGAAAUAUCAUAUUUUAAAAAAUUAAGUUAAGGUGAAAUGUUUCGUAUAUUGGGUGUAAAAAUAAAUUUUGUAU